This 253-nucleotide ribosomal RNA is filed under the name uncultured bacterium. RNAcentral's name for it is "partial 16S ribosomal RNA". It matches the Rfam family "Bacterial small subunit ribosomal RNA", at positions 524 to 776 of the family's 1533-position model. The record is from RNAcentral.
UACGGGGGGUGCAAGCGUUAUUCGGAAUUACUGGGCGUAAAGGGCGCGUAGGCGGUCCUGUAAGUCAGAUGUGAAAGCCCGGGGCUCAACCCCGGAAGUGCAUUUGAUACUAUAGGACUUGAGUAUGGGAGAGGGAAGUGGAAUUCCUGGUGUAGCGGUGAAAUGCGUAGAUAUCAGGAGGAACACCGGUGGCGAAGGCGACUUCCUGGACCAAUACUGACGCUGAUGCGCGAAGGCGUGGGGAGCAAACAGG